GACGAACGCUGGCGGCGUGCUUAACACAUGCAAGUCGAGCGACUGCAUUCUUUUCGGAGGGUGUAUGGAGCGGCGAACGGGUGAGUAACACGUGAGUAAUCUGCCUUUGGCUUGGGAAUAACUUCGGGAAAUCGGGGCUAAUGCCUGAUGUUUACUGUCUGCUGCAUGGUGGGUGGUGGAAAGAUUUUUUGGCCAGGGAUGAGCUCGCGGUCUAUCAGCUGUUGGUGGGGUAAUGGCUUACCAAGGCUUUGACGGGUAGCCGGCCUGAGAGGGGUGUUCGGCCACACUGGGACUGAGACACGGCCCAGACUCCUACGGGAGGCAGCAGUGGGGAAUAUUGCGCAAUGGGCGUAAGCCUGACGCAGCGACGCCGCGGU
This 377-nucleotide ribosomal RNA is filed under the name uncultured bacterium. Its description in RNAcentral is "bacterial SSU rRNA". It matches the Rfam family "Bacterial small subunit ribosomal RNA", at positions 28 to 403 of the family's 1533-position model. The record is from RNAcentral.